RNAcentral lists this long non-coding RNA (284 nucleotides) under Elaeis guineensis (African oil palm). RNAcentral's name for it is "long non-coding RNA (EGUI_LNC077178)". Lineage: Eukaryota; Viridiplantae; Streptophyta; Magnoliopsida; Arecales; Arecaceae. The record is from RNAcentral.
UGUACCAAACACCAUUCCCAGCUCUUUGACUUCGAACAAACUCUCGCUAAUUAGGAUUCAGUAUGAAGUUCCUUCGGAGUACGAGCUUGAGCUUCUCGAGCUAACUGACUGGGCUAGCGCCCCUCCCCCUGGCUGCUUCUGCUUAUACUAGGAAGCUUUCUGCACUGGACUUCGACUUCCACUUCCACCUUUUGUUGUUUCUCUUUUUCACUUUUUAAAUAUUUCUCUAGUUUCUAUAGCAUCGAACUCCUUUAGAUUUCUGAUAGGAUUUCUUUUCCUCUAUC